GGAGGAUUCGCCUAGAGGCCUAGGGCGCUCGCUUGGAAAGCGGGUUGGGGGCAACCCUCACGAGUUCGAAUCUCGUAUCCUCCGCCA
Molecule: transfer RNA, 87 nt
Filed under: Micropruina sp.
Lineage: Bacteria; Bacillati; Actinomycetota; Actinomycetes; Propionibacteriales; Nocardioidaceae
Description: tRNA-Ser
Rfam family: tRNA
About the family: Transfer RNA (tRNA) molecules are approximately 80 nucleotides in length.
Source: RNAcentral